CUCGUGCAAGGCUUGGCUUAUCGUGCAUCGUGCCAAUAUACGAGUACUUAGUACAUAGUAGUGCUGAUUACAGCUGAACAAUUGUGGCAAUAGAGUGUGGAGCCGAUCGAAUGGUCGCUCUAAGUUGUCUACGGUCGUUCUAAAGAAUCAGUCAUCAACAGGCAGUUAGUCAUGUACGGUCGUUCUAAGGAGUCAGUUGUCAACGGUCGUUCUAAGGAGUCAGUCAAGAACGGCCGUUCUAAGCAGUAGUCAGUUGUGAGAAGUCCUGAGCUGCCGCUAAAGGAGGAGCUGUCAGCAGUCGGGACUACUCGUGAGAAGUCUCUGUUCGUGUGCAGUCGUAGUCAAGAAGACUACGGUCCUUCUAAAGAAUCAGUCAUCAACAGGCAGUUAGUCAUGUACGGUCGUUCUAAGGGGUCAGUUGUCAACGGUCGUUCUAAGGAGUCAGUCGAGAACGGCCGUUCUAAGCAGUCAGUUGAGAGCAGUCCUGAGCAGCCGCUAAAGGAGGAGCUGUCAGCAGUCGGGACUACUCGUGAGAAGUCCUCAGAUUUCUCUUAAAUUUACAUUAAAUUCGUCAUAAAUAAAGACUACUUCAACUUAUAUUUCUAGCUAUACCCAACACUUUGUUUCUUCCCAGUUCAGUUCUGAUAUGACACAUAUAGUAUUAUAAAAUAUAUUAUACACUGAACAAUAAUCUACAUAAAUAAAUUGAAAUUCGUCUCCAGCAUA
Scaptodrosophila lebanonensis is the source of this 726-nucleotide long non-coding RNA. RefSeq lists it as uncharacterized. The transcript has 2 exons. The record is from RefSeq and is a predicted model, not a curated record. NCBI's taxonomy places the organism in Eukaryota, Metazoa, Arthropoda, Insecta, Diptera, Drosophilidae.